This 3797-nucleotide long non-coding RNA is filed under the name Portunus trituberculatus (swimming crab). Its description in RNAcentral is "uncharacterized LOC123516626, transcript variant X2". Lineage: Eukaryota; Metazoa; Arthropoda; Malacostraca; Decapoda; Portunidae. The record is from RNAcentral.
UCUGAACUGACAAUCUACGUCUAUAUUUACAUACUACCAUACUAAAACGAUAUUAUCAGAAAGAGUUUAGGGAGGAAAGUAACUCAGACCGUGAGAAGUCCUCGGGGAGCUGUGAUAGAGGUGUCAGUCAGUACAACGAGGCAGCGUGGGAGCACUGGGCCAGUCGGACGAAGAUGACGUGCUGGGGCAGGAGUAAGGUUCAUCUCAGGGGUUUCAGCUCGCGUUUUGCUUUCUCCGAUUUAAGACAAAUGUUAGCUGACAUAUUGGAUGGCUGCCAAGAUCCUCACCUUGCCUUCAAAACUCAACCAUACCACAAACUUCUUCUAGAAGACAAGACAACGUACCAAUAUCUGAAUGGCUGACCUGUCUGGUAUCAGCACCUUUGAAGCACUAGAAUUUAUAGUGCCACAGCCUACACAGCCACAUCCAAAUCCCAAGAACUAGAACCUGCAAGGAUUGAAUGACCGACCUUGAGUAAUCCUUGUUUUGCUGCUGUUGUAUCUGAUGUGCAUCCUCACCCAAGUGUUGAGAGGAGGAAGAGGAGGAAGCUCAGCAUCAAGGAGCUGGACUGGGCAGCCUACCUAAAGGACUACAUAAGGUCCUCCAGAGCCUCUUUCACGAGACAUGGCCUGCCCCGCUAGUCACAAACUGCCUGACAUCUGCUGCUGCGUGGCCUCCAUCCUCAGCUGCAAGGUCACCACAACUUUUGGCACUGUCUUUAGAACUCUUCCCCCAAGUAGACAUCCAGUGUUGAUGGAGUGCUAAACCAGCAACAUACAGCCAAGGUCAUAGGCAUCUCAGUGAAUAACGUCUUCAUGUUCCAUUAGUGACUUCUCCAUCUCAUCCACCUGCCCGGGAGUCAAAUUGGCAGCACUUCUCAUCACGUGCAUAGCUGUUGUUCACCACUGCCUUGCAUUUUGAAGCUGCUACAAUGACAUUUGCACCUUCGACUUCCUUCACGCUUCAUCAGUGUAGCUCCAGUCCCUCAUCCUCAACAUCUGAACCACCCACAGGGCUCUCAACCUAUUCAGCAGCAUCUUCAAGAAACAGCAUAUGGUUUCACCUUCAUCUUCAUUCUUCUGAGGUCUACACCAGUCCAGCCCCAACAGGCAAGGUUCUUCCAUGUCAUCCACAAUACCUGGUAGCUCUUCCUUGACACCACCCACCACGAUCUCUGAUAUCACAGGGAAACAUAGCAUCAUAUGAUGGCCAGUUACACCACCAUUUUCAAUGCUACUUCACCUCUGUUCUGCCUCAUCUCACUGGUUUCCCAUUUCAUUUUCUGUACCAUUUCACACCUUUCUUGUUUCCAUUCAUGUAUAUUCUGUGUCAACUCAAGUCAUGUUCCCCAUUAUUUUCCAUCCCUGCUCUCUACUUCUUAAGUCUGAAUCAGCCAUGGUGCCACUAGCCAAAACUUCAGUCUUUAUCCCACUCCUAACACUACUGUUACAGUGUGUGCUUUUUAAUCCUGAUCUGCUGACACUAACUGUUACAACUGCCCUUUUGUCCUUGCAGCCUCCACCACAGCCACUGACCAAGAACUCUACCAUUUACCACAGUGGCUGACCGAGAGGCACAGGACGAAGGUGAUAACUCACCUGGAAUCAUAGACAUGGCCUCAUUGGCUGCACAAAGAUGAUGCAGCACAUUUAUAAGUACCUUUCACUUACCAGUUACACUAGACAAUGACUCAGACAGACAUAAAGAGGCAGGGCACAAGUUCUUAGUUUACUGGUACAAAGAAAACUUACAAAGUACAGAUCGUGGCUACAUAACAUAUAGUGCAAUGAUUCUCAAACUGGCAGGAAUUUAGGUCGGCCAUGUGGGCUGUUGGACAGUAUACAUUUCUAAAUAAUGUUAGGAAUCUGAAUUGAAAAAAAAAUGCAUCAUUGUCCUGGCAAAGAAAAUUUUCUUUUUUAAUUAAGUUGACAUUAUAUUCUUUUACAUAUUGUUAUGAAUGUGCAUACAUACGUAUGUAUGUAUGUAUGUGUGCAUAAUUGUAAUUGUUUGUGCAGUGUAGAUAUGAUAAAAAGCGCUGAGGAGAAUAAACGUGUAUGAGGCGAGUGAGAGAAGGGUGAGUCACCAGGACACAGGAGAGAGAUGAUCCACAAUAUGAUAUCACUGUAAGAAUAUAGGUAUAAUUGACUCUGAACCAUACAAUGUGUUAUAUAUUUUGAUCAACAAUUAUAAAUGUGGUUGCUGUUUAUUGUGUGUGAAAUAUUUUUACUGCUCAUUUAUCAGUUUAUUACUUUUUGGUAUCCUUGUUUUUCAUGGUCAUUCCCUACAUAGGUAUUCCUGCUUUUUUUUUUUUUCUAGUGCUAAUAUGGAUGUGACUCACUAUUCUUGUUAUUAUUUCAACUGGGAUAGUGUUUGUCAAAAGAGGCGUGUUCUUGCUGUUAGAAAAUACAUUUCAGCUUGCUUGCUUGUGUGUGAAUGUUUAAAACUUUAUCAUAUUUACUCUCUCUCUUUGUGUAUAUUUAUGUAUGACUGUGUUUGUGCAUAAAAUGUGAUUCCAUGGAUCUGUUAUGUAUGCUGAUAUUUAUGUGUUUGUCAUUUUAUCACUUGUCCUAGUGUUCUGUCCAUUAUCAUUCUUUUGUCUUCAUACUGACAUACUCAAUGUUCUUCUGCUGUCCUGUCUUCUUUAUUUUCAAUACAUUUGCAAUGGUUACUAGUAUUACUAACAAGCAGAAGUACAGUGAAGAGUACAUUAACUACGGAUUUACAUCACUCCUCACUGAUGGCAUCAAGAAACCUCAGUGUGUACUGUGCUUUAAAGUGCUGGGGAAUGAUUCAAUGAGGCCUAGUAAGUUGAAGCACCAUUUGCAGACCAUCCAUGCACAUUAUGCUGAGAAAGACACCAAUUUUUUCAGGCGCCACAAAAGUAGUUUGGGAAAACAGAAACUGGAUGAGACCAGUGCUUUCCAACAACAGACCUCAAGUGUAGUUGAGGCAUCAUACGAGGUUGCCCUUGACAUAGUAAAGAAAAGAAGCUCCACACAAUUGGUGAAACCUUAAUCAAGCUUUGUACUUUAAAGAUGGUCAAGUGUGUUCUUGGAGAUGCAAGUGAACGUGAAAUUUCCUUGUCAAACGACACAGUGAAGUGGAGACUUAAUGAAAUGUCAGAUGACAUAAAGGCAAAAGUGAUACAUGAGAUCAAAUCAUCUCAAACUGGUAUGUUUGCAAUACAGCUGGAUGAGUCAACGGAUGUUCGUUAGAUAUGUUUUCUUGUGUGGUAUCAAGGAAGAAUAUCUGUUAUGUAAACAGCUUGAGACCACCUCAACAGCUGAAGGUGUGAUGGAAAAGCUAUAUUCUUUCUUCAAGGCUAACAGGAUCCCCUGAGAAAAUUGUUGUGGAGUCUGUACAGACGGGGCUCCAGCAAUGCUGGGAUAAAAAUUUGGUUUUCAGAAGUGUGUCAAGGAAGUAGCUCUGAAUGCCAAGGGGGUUUAUUGUAUGAUCCAUUGUCUUGCACCCUCCCUGAUGAAGCUCGAGCUCUAAACUCUCACCUUUUCUAGAAACUUUGUACUGUAUUACACACCAGCAGUAAACUGAAGGAGUUGUGCCAAGUGUUUCAUGUAUCCUGCCUCUCUGAGUAAGUCUGCCUGAGUCUGGUGAGUAGGGGUGGGCACUUAACGACUCCGGAGUCGACUCCGCUGACUCCAAGUCCAAGGGCCUGGAGUCGACUCCACGCCUUAACGACUCCAGUCACAACAGCAUGUAAAAGUGUAUACUGCUUGAGCCUUGAGGUGACAAUAUCACUUUUAUUUUGACAAAACUGACGAGAAUGUAUAUAACUUUGA